GAUGAACGCUGGCGGCGUGCCUAACACAUGCAAGUCGAGCGGACGGACGAGGCUUUUGCUUGGCUGAUGUGAGGGGCGGGCGGGUGAUGCACACGAGUAUACCCUGCCUUUGAGGCUGAUAUAACGACGGGAAAGCGGAUAUAACACCGGAUAAGAUUGUGAACCGCGGGGUUCAAAGGAGAAAACCGGUCUUGCUGGCACUAAUCGAGGGUUCCGAGCUGGAUUAGCUAGUUGGUAAGGUAACGGCCUACCAAGGCUACGAUGCGUGGCCGACCUGAGAGGGUGAUCGGCCACACUGGAACUGAGCCACGGUCCAGACUCCUACGGGAGGCAGCAGUCGGGAAUCUUCGGCAAUGGGCGAAAGCCUGACGGAGCCACGCCGCGUGUGUGACGAAGGUCUUCGGAUCGUAAAGCCCUUUUAUUAGGGAGGAACAUCUGUGUCAUUAAACGUUGACAUCUUGACGGUACCGAAUGAAAAAGCACCGGCUAACUACGUG
Molecule: ribosomal RNA, 497 nt
Filed under: uncultured bacterium
Lineage: Bacteria
Description: partial 16S ribosomal RNA
Rfam family: Bacterial small subunit ribosomal RNA
Source: RNAcentral